This 464-nucleotide ribosomal RNA is filed under the name Streptococcus australis. RNAcentral's name for it is "bacterial SSU rRNA". It matches the Rfam family "Bacterial small subunit ribosomal RNA", at positions 28 to 474 of the family's 1533-position model. Lineage: Bacteria; Bacillati; Bacillota; Bacilli; Lactobacillales; Streptococcaceae. The record is from RNAcentral.
GAUGAACGCUGGCGGCGUGCCUAAUACAUGCAAGUAGAACGCUGAAGGAAGGAGCUUGCUCUUUCCGGAUGAGUUGCGAACGGGUGAGUAACGCGUAGGUAACCUGCCUGGUAGCGGGGGAUAACUAUUGGAAACGAUAGCUAAUACCGCAUAACAGUAGAUGUUGCAUGACAUCUAUUUGAAAGGGGCAAUUGCUCCACUACCAGAUGGACCUGCGUUGUAUUAGCUAGUUGGUGAGGUAACGGCUCACCAAGGCGACGAUACAUAGCCGACCUGAGAGGGUGAUCGGCCACACUGGGACUGAGACACGGCCCAGACUCCUACGGGAGGCAGCAGUAGGGAAUCUUCGGCAAUGGACGGAAGUCUGACCGAGCAACGCCGCGUGAGUGAAGAAGGUUUUCGGAUCGUAAAGCUCUGUUGUAAGAGAAGAACGAGUGUGAGAGUGGAAAGUUCACACUGUGACG